AGCUCCAUAGCGUACAUUUAAGUUGUUGCGGUUAGAAAGCUCGGAUUUCUGGCUGGAGCGACCGGUCCUCCCCGCAAGGGUGUGUGUACUAUAGCGUCGUCUCCGACCACCAUCCUUGUGGGAACUGUGCGGCCGUUAACUUGGUUGUAUGGGACACAUCGUUCACUGUGAAAAAAGUAGAGCGUUUGAAGCAGGCUUAAGCCGUUGAAUAUAUUAGCAUGGAAUAAUAGAUAAGACGGGUCAUUAUUUUGUUGGUUUGCGGAUUGAGGUAAUGAUUAAUAGGGAUUGUUGGAGUAUUCACUAUUUUAUUGUCAGAGGUGAAAUUCUUGGAUUUAUGCAAGAUGAACUUGGACGAAAGCAUUUACCAAGGAUGUUUUCA
This 379-nucleotide ribosomal RNA is filed under the name uncultured eukaryote. RNAcentral's name for it is "SSU rRNA". It matches the Rfam family "Eukaryotic small subunit ribosomal RNA", at positions 587 to 972 of the family's 1831-position model. The record is from RNAcentral.